Molecule: ribosomal RNA, 300 nt
Filed under: uncultured Lactobacillus sp.
Lineage: Bacteria; Bacillati; Bacillota; Bacilli; Lactobacillales; Lactobacillaceae
Description: bacterial SSU rRNA
Rfam family: Bacterial small subunit ribosomal RNA (bases 55-300)
Source: RNAcentral
GGGAAAUACGGACGUGAGAGUGCGUAAGACGGAGGGAGAACAGCGUUUACGGUGAUUUAUGGGCCGACAGCGAGCGUAGGCGGUUUUGUAAGUCUGAUGUGAAAGGCACCGGCUCAACCGUGGAUGGUCAUUGGAUGCUGGAAACCUUGAGGGCAGAAGAGGAAAGUGUAAUUCCAUGUGUAGCGGUGUAAUGCGCAGAGAUAUGGAGGAACACCAGUGGCGAAGGCGACUUUCUGGUCUGCAACUGACGCUGAUGUGCGAAAGCGUGGUGAUCAAACAGGAUUAGAUACCCGGGUAGUC